UCUCCGUAGGUGAACCUGCGGAGGGAUCAUUACCGAGCGAGGGCCCCCGGCCCGACCUCCAACCCUUUGUGAACCCCAUCUCGUUGCUUCGGGGGCGACCCUGCCUUUCGGCGCGGCGCCCCCGGAGGCUCAUCAAACACUGCAUCUCUGCGUCGGAGUCUUAAUGAAUUUAAACAAAACUUUUAACAACGGAUCUCUUGGUUCUGGCAUCGAUGAAGAACGCAGC
This 226-nucleotide unclassified non-coding RNA is filed under the name uncultured fungus. Its description in RNAcentral is "sequence contains ITS1, 5.8S rRNA gene". The stretch from base 178 to 226 matches the Rfam family "5.8S ribosomal RNA", at positions 1 to 49 of the family's 154-position model. Lineage: Eukaryota; Fungi. The record is from RNAcentral.